AAGUCGUAACAAGGUUUCCGUAGGUGAACCUGCGGAAGGAUCAUUAUCUAUUUGUUGGAUGUGGUCGCGGCCCCCGUAUUCCGGGUGGUAGGGGUAACACCCUCACGCGCCACAUGCACUAAUCCUCUUUUUACGAGCACCUUCUGUUCUCCUUCGGCGGGGCAACCUGCCGUUGGAACCAACAAAACCUUUUGAAUUCAGUAUUACCUGUUCUGAUACAAACAAUCGUAACAACUUUCAACAAUGGAUCUCUUGGCUCUG
This 261-nucleotide unclassified non-coding RNA is filed under the name air metagenome. Its description in RNAcentral is "partial contains small subunit ribosomal RNA, internal transcribed spacer 1, and 5.8S ribosomal RNA". The stretch from base 1 to 46 matches the Rfam family "Eukaryotic small subunit ribosomal RNA", at positions 1786 to 1831 of the family's 1831-position model. The record is from RNAcentral.